CUCUUCCUUUCCCUCCCCCUCCUCUCCUGCAUGGCUGGCUGGAAGGGACAUCUCUCAUUACACAUGGCAAACAGGAGAAAUAAUUGGGAGAAAAAAAAGAAAAUCUGCAACAGUAAAAAAGCAGACAUAAAGGAGACAAACAGGAGACUGACAUCUGUGUAACAGAAUAACAUACAAAGAACAUUACAGAUAAGACAUUUACUGGACGUGGCUUUUAGGUGAAAUAAAGAGGGUGAAAUAAUGCUAAAAUUAAAUUACAGUAUUUAAUUUGGGGAGGAGGAAGAAAACCAAAGCAUGGCUAUGGCACGGCAUGACCCCCAUCACAGAUCAGGCUGCCAAUGAAAUGAAAAAGACAGAUUUAAUUGACUGAUUGUUUUUCAGCAGGAAGGGAGGAAUAACUGCUGCGGGCGAGUAAUGCUGCAGGCGAACCUUACAGACUGAAACGGAUACAUGAGGCACUUACAGACCCUCGCAGCAGCUCUACAUGGCAACACUCAGCUACAGACUGUACAUACUCAGCCAGCCUUCCCUAAAACUGCAUACACCUUCACAUAAAGGGACAGUACCAUGGCAUGUUUAUGCAAUUUGGACAAACAACGUGUUUGUGAUGCAACAAGCUGAACACUGCAAAUGAAGGUCAUCUCCUACUUAUACUGCAUUCUGACUUCCUAACUACUGCCUGGCUGCUAUGGAAAAUAAGCCCUAGCAACCAUCUUGAAGCUAAAAAAAAAA
This is a long non-coding RNA of Xenopus tropicalis (tropical clawed frog), 732 nucleotides long. RefSeq lists it as uncharacterized. The record is from RefSeq and is a predicted model, not a curated record. The transcript has 2 exons. NCBI's taxonomy places the organism in Eukaryota, Metazoa, Chordata, Amphibia, Anura, Pipidae.